ACUUCGAACGCCCUGUUUUAGACAGGGAUUUAACUGAAUUAGACAUUCCCUAUAGUUGCCAAGUCAUGUCUGCUUCGUUUUUACCAUAAAUAUAUUCAUGUUUGGUUUAAAGAGGAUAUUAAUUAAACUAAAAUUCAAGUCAAUGUUGACAUUAGACCGAUAUUUUGAAAUUUGAACACAACACGCCCUUGAACAUAACACGACACUGGACAGCAACACUCCCAUUACAGUGCUACCCCCCGGGAAACGAAUUAUGUGAUCCCAGGUAUCCCC
This is a non-coding RNA of Paramuricea clavata, 273 nucleotides long. The record is from the annotation of a GenBank genome assembly. Lineage: Eukaryota; Metazoa; Cnidaria; Anthozoa; Malacalcyonacea; Plexauridae.